Mustela lutreola (European mink) is the source of this 1716-nucleotide long non-coding RNA. RefSeq lists it as uncharacterized. The record is from RefSeq and is a predicted model, not a curated record. NCBI's taxonomy places the organism in Eukaryota, Metazoa, Chordata, Mammalia, Carnivora, Mustelidae. The transcript has 4 exons.
GGCCUCAUCCCCAUGACUGCCCCGAAGCAGGGCCCGGAUUCUCGUCCCCAUCUCUCAGAUAAGGAGACAGAGGCUCCAGGAGCUGAAUGGGGUAUCAGCUCGACCAACAGCUCCUCCUCACCCCCGCAGCCUGGAAACAGCAGUGUCCGGGUUGCUCUCCGGAGGCCAGAGCUCCAAGCCUCGGGCCGGUCUGGCUCGUCUCGGCCGCGUUCAGACGUCAGUCUGUGCAGCCACCUCUCUGGGGUCAAGUUCUUUAACAUCUGAUCCCGCGGAGAUUAUUAUAUCCGAUGGCCGCGGAGACUAGUGAACGGCUGGAAUCCAGGUAGCCGGACCCAGGAGUGGCUGGGGGCCACGGCCAGCCCGAAGCAGGAGGGCGAGAGGCAGCCGGGGCUUGAAGCGCAGGAAGGUCCCUUCCUCCUGAGCCCCACUGGCCUUGCCCUUGAGUUUCCCUGCCUUGAGGCAGGGCCUGGAUCGGGGCGGGGAGUCCCACAGCAAGAGGGAGCAGGGCUAUUGGAUCCCUGGGGGGCUCCUGCCCAAGUCCUCCUUCAUUUCCUGGAUUCCAGGAAGGCUCGGGGUGGGGGCUGGGGGCAGUAGGCAAGCCCCGAGCAGGGGUGUGCCCAUCCUGCGGCCCGGCCGGCCCUUCCGGUGCUGUGGCCAGCCCUACGCGCGGCCAGCCAGAGCCUCUGGGAGCCUCCGGGAGCUGCAGCCCUGGGCCGGAGGCCAGGAAGGCCCGAAGGCUGGAAGAAGAGAGAGGAGGCAAGGCCCAGGUCUGGCUGGGGAAGAACCAGGACCAAAGGCAGAAAAAAAUCAGGACAUGUCCUUACCACCUACAGCUCAUUGACAAGUCCUUGAAGCAGGCCGAGUGAUAUUCCUCCAGGAACUCAGCUGCCUCAAUGCUGAUACUUUCUAAGGACAAAAGGGAACAUUAGCCCAACCCCCAGGACCCUCCACUCCGGCCGUGACCCCGUGCCUACCUUUCAGCCCUUCCCGGUGGGCGAGCUGUCAACUCACCAGACUCCAGAGGUCCCCCCAGUUGCCAAGUCUGGGGAGCAGGGGCGCGGUGAGCUAAGAGGGUACAGAGGGGGGGGCCCUGCGAGUAAAUCCCUGGGAGAGCGAGCACCCUGCCUCCCAAGUGGGCCUCUCUGGGUCCGCCGCCCCUGCCAGCCAGCAGCGCCCGAAUGCGGAGCCACUACCAGGGCAGGAGGUCAUGCUGCUGCUGGGGCUCCCGGCCUCAGCGAGGAUGAGGCAGAGACGGCCUCUCACGCAGGGCCCCAGCUUCUGGUGGAUCUGCCCAGAGCCGGCACACCUCUGGGCACUCUGCGAAGCCCCCGACCCCAUGCGGGGGCAGUGCAGGGAGGGGUGUGAGGACACAGCGCAGACCACCAGGCCGCUUCCAAGCAAGUCUUCUACAAGUGGCAGAAGAAUAAAAGUAAUAUAACAGGAAAAGUAGAAGGCUAACGUAAUACGGGUGAAGUCCCAUCUCCCGUGGGAGGAGUGCGUGCACGGUGCCUAAAAUCGGGCGAGUGGGAGACUAGAGACAGACACUGCGUGUGGAGCCCCGGGUCAGCAGUGAGCAGCACCAAGUUCAAGGAGCCUGAAGACCAGCCCCAGGAGACCCUGGGGAGGGCACGGAUGGGGGAGGGGUGGAUGGGCACCGCACUGCAGGCUGCAGCAUCACAGGCACCUCGGUGUUAUUGGAUUUCUCGCUGUGAGCCC